GGCAAUUUUUUCAUAUACUAAAAUUGGAACGAUACAGAGAAGAUUAGCAUGGCCCCUGAAAAAACUAAAAAAAAAAAAAAAAAAAUCCUG
Molecule: small nuclear RNA, 90 nt
Filed under: Ovis aries (sheep)
Lineage: Eukaryota; Metazoa; Chordata; Mammalia; Artiodactyla; Bovidae
Source: RNAcentral